RNAcentral lists this ribosomal RNA (254 nucleotides) under uncultured bacterium. RNAcentral's name for it is "partial 16S ribosomal RNA". It matches the Rfam family "Bacterial small subunit ribosomal RNA", at positions 524 to 776 of the family's 1533-position model. The record is from RNAcentral.
UACGUAGGGUGCGAGCGUUGUCCGGAAUUAUUGGGCGUAAAGAGCUCGUAGGCGGUGUGUCACGUCGGCCGUGAAAACCUGCAGCUUAACUGUGGGCGUGCGGUCGAUACGGGCAUCACUGGAGUUCGGCAGGGGAGACUGGAAUUCCUGGUGUAGCGGUGAAAUGCGCAGAUAUCAGGAGGAACACCGGUGGCGAAGGCGGGUCUCUGGGCCGAUACUGACGCUGAGGAGCGAAAGCGUUGGGAGCAAACAGG